GUUUGGCUCACAGGGAUACACAGGUGGAAGUGACCGGUCAAGCCUGGGAUGCUGCGCAGGGGGGAAUAAAAUGCUCAGCUGUCAGCUCCUCAAUGGACAGAGACCAGGGCAAAGACGAGCUGCUCCUUUGUCUCUGUGCACAGGUGCCCGCAUAGACAUAGCCACGGUACUCUACACUUGAUGCAUUAUCUUGCUACAGACGCAAGGCAAACUCUGCUCCUCCCUUCUGGCCUAGAGUGCAAUGAUGGAUUAAGUAGGGCAGAGCAGAAGGAGCCUUGGUGGAAACAGUACAUUUGAAAUGAACCUAUGCUGCAGACUGACUCGGAUUCUCCAGCCAAGACUGAGAAUUGAGCAAUGACAAGCUGCCCUAUUUUUUUCCCUUGAAGGGAAGACAUCUAGUUCCUUCUUCAGGUCUUCUCCUUCCUGCAGCUGUGGCUCUGUUUCCUGAAUGUUACUCCCUUCCUUGCCCUGUGAUCUCGCUCUGGUGUCCUGUGUGAUCCAGUGACUGCCCGCGCCUAAUGCGUGAGCCUCCUGGAGCAGGAGUUGAGGUGCCCAAGAUGCAUACAUACGGUGUGCCUGUGCUGGGGAGGCCUUGUCUGGAGAGCUGUCCCUCCCUGUUUGCAUAGCUUACUAGGCAUGUAACCCUGCUAAAUGCUUUUCAGAUGUGUGAAUAACGCUUUUGAGGUGGUUGCUAGGCUCUUGCAGAAGAUACAGCAAAGCAGUCAAAAUUCUUCAUGUUAAUUGGUAGGAAUACUCCAGCCAUCUCGCUGCUGCCUGCCUCAUCUUUCCAUGGCAACACUCUCUACAGCAGCCCAGGUGCUUGUGGUUGGAUAUAGUGGGAUUUUUUGAGCCCUCUGUCUUCCAAAUUGCCCCUUGGAGCAUGGAGGGAACAUCUGUACUUUUAAAGUAUGGGUAUCAUGUGAUACAUCAAAUAGCUUCCCUUGGUCUAACCAUAUCCCUUUUUCAUGCUGUCAGACGAAAAACUUUGGAAACAUGCCUGCAUUUCUUUGGUGGAAAGAGCGGUUGUCCUGUUUGUUUUUUUAACAGGGAGAGAAUGGUGCUGAAAGAGUCUUGAGUGUUUUCCUUCCCAUGGCCUGAGCUGUCACACCUUUCUGUGAGCUGGAGAAAGGAGGGACCACAGCUCAUGGCAUCUGGUGGGCAAAGGGAAGGGCAAUCUUUUUCUCUCCAGCAGAGCUCAGCCUGGAUUGAGUUCUGAUGUCUCCUUCAGGAAGCCGGGAUGGUGGCUGGAAGGAGCCAGAGAACAGACACUUGGUAGCAGCAAGUGCUGGUUCAUCUUGAAAUACAGUGAGAAACAGGCUGGAUGGAGGAGACCACCUAUUCAUCCACAAAACAGUGAGCUGCUGCUGUUGCUGUGGUCAGGGUGAAGGCAUCCUCCUGGUCGGACCUUGAUUAGCAAAUAAGUUUAUUUCUCUUCCAUCUCCAGGAGGCCACAGAUGGUAUCUGAGUCCCUUAGGACAAUCUAGGACCUAGAAGGUCCUUUCUGAUCUUUUCAUUUGUAUUUUUCUCCUCUUUCAAAUGAAGCGUUUCCUUUCCUGAUGGUUUGAGUUCCCCUCAUUUGGAUCUUUGUGUUUCCAGGGAUCUUACCUGGUUCAGAGUGUCAGCAGUGGUGAAGGAAUGAACCGCAAUUCUGGUGCCUUGUUUCACACCUCCAGUGGAUGAAUUUUCUUCUGGGGAACUGGGAAGGGUGUUUCUCCAGCAGCAGGAGAGGUUUGGACUAACAUAGCCUGCUCUUUACACAGCAAGCUGCUCUGUAGUCCCUAGACAACUCCACGCUGGUUUGUCAAAUUGGGUCUAAUGGCAAAGUUCAAGCCUGUAGGAUGAGUAGGUCUUGUACGCUCCUGAAAGUCGAAGAGAAAAGGCAGAUGAAUCAGCAGGAAGUUAUGGUGGGCCUAUUCCCAGCUCUGCUCUUCCCAAGAAAUAUGCAUGAUGCCACACUCUCCCCACCUCAACCUCCCUCUGCUGUUACGUGGACUGGGGAAUCACAAUGGCAGUCCCAGCAACAGUCAUGGAUAAAGAUAUUUGGGAAGAUGAUAAAGACAAGAAGCCUGGAUUCAAUCCCCAUCACUCCUUUUGUUGGGUGAAACAGGGAGUCAAGCAGCCCUGAAGUGUAAAUCCUUGGUUUGGAAUAAAGGAUGUGCUGUAGUGUAUGCUUAAAUACUCUUUCUGUGGAACUGAAGCCCUGCAAGGACAAGUGAUACGUGAUCCACCAGGCUGACAGCACAUCCUGGGACUUGGCCUUUACCAGGUGAUUCAGAGAAGCCCCAGAAUGCAUCUGGCCAGCUGGGCCAGUGUCACAUAGGAGCUGGAGGGAAAAGGGCUAUUUUCCACUUCUUGAUUACUUCCAGGACUCUGGAAUGAGCGAGGCUGGAAAUGACACCAUGAACAGAUGACAACUGGGGCAGUACAGAUCCUAAAUGAGCACAGGGAUUGCCCCACUCUGUCCCCAAAUUGCAUGUAAGGUUUGGCUUCUUUGCAAUGGGGUCAGCCUCCGCAAGCUCCAGUCAUCUUUGCUGCCUUGCCAUGUACCAUGUGCUUCUUGCUAAUUCUUCCUAUGCUAGAGAGUGGUGACGAGUGAUGUGAGGUCCCAGCAAAACCAGCUCCAGGUUCUCACUGAAACAGCCUAAUGAGGGUCUCCUAAUUGGGUCACUGAAAGGAGGGAGCAUCUGAACUAAUCCAUAAGUCUGGGGUGGCAAUUCAAGCUGGAAAUGCAGCAGGACCUCAGCUUGCACACUGGCCCCCAGCAAGGAAAAAGCACACGGCCUGGUUCCAGAGUCUUUGAAAAGCCUUUGAAAAGGCUAACAUGCCAUCUUAGCUGGCUGUCUCUCCUGUCAGCUGAGCAGGCUUGAAACCUUCACCCGUUAGUACUGUGUGCAGUGGGAUCCAUGAAGUCUCAUUUCUUGUGGAUAUAUCACUUGAGUUUGGAUUCUCUAGUGUCUAGUAAGCUGCUUGUGCUGAAUGGAGCAUCUCCCCUUACUGGGGUAUUUAUAGCAUCACUCCUUCUCCCACACAGAUUGUCUGAUGUCUAAUAAGGGAUGAUACACUACAGUUUGGAAGGUGCUAAUAAUGUCUCUUCUCUCUUUAACAGUCUGUUCCCAUGAAAUUUAUAGACUCUGACUGUCUCUCAGACCUCUGUCUCUGUCAGAUCAGGUUGAAAUCUGUUUGCUGUGUCAGAAGUUGCGGGGAGUGGGCAGAGGACAGACUGAUGCAGCAGGAGUGCGUAUGCUUUGCACUUCUUGGGAAAUUAGGCUGAAAACGUGCCCAGCUCUGUUUCCUGCAGAUCUGGAGGGGCAGCUGUGGUUCAGAUCACUAAAUUGUGAGUUUGGGAAAGCAAGCUGGUUGGGUGGGAGGAAGGCGCUGAGCUCAAAACGUACCCAGGAGAAGAGCUGCUCUGCCCCCAGCCGUCUUGCAUGCCAUGCUGAGGGCUCCUCAGGCACGCUUGAGCUGCCUGGGGCGAUGAGUGCAAGUACAGAGCUUGGCCUCUUGCGAAAGACAGCCCCUGAGGACAAUAAACGAGCAAGCCCAGGGCUCUUGGCUGGUGUGAAGAAUUGCCAGGCUAAAGGAUAAUGAAUGCCACAGCAGGAAAUAGAGCAUUUCUCUGAGGCCAUUCAUCCCCUUUAUCACUCUGCUAACAAGCCCCAGAGUGACUUCAGAGAGACUUCUCUGGAGCAGCACCAUCCCUCAGCCCUGCUUAUGGCUGGGUGCUGGGGGUGAGGAAUACAUUGCAUGGCAGGAGUGCUCAGUGGAAAACUGCCGACCAAUCCCAAAUAACAGCUCCAAGUCUGGGUGUCUGCAGUAGGGACUGUGCAGUGGCUCUGGCUUGGCGUGGAGACCAUGCCCUUCUUCGGGCCAUGUGCGGUGCCACCUGAGAGAUCUGUAUGAAAAAGCCAAGCAUCGAUCUUUCUUAAAGAACUCUGGGGCAGCAAGUGCCCUGCAGCACCUUAGGAGGAUUGCUCUAUCCUAACUCCCACCUUGUCUAAGAUUUAAAAUUCAUAAGAUUUAUACAGGACCCAAGAGGAGUUUGGGACUGCUGGCACAGAGGUCUCUCAGCAUUUUAAAAGAAAGCUAACACCGCAGAUUGGAAAACUCACAUCUUGAGGCUUCAAAGACUAGUUCAAAGCCAGCCAGAGGAGCCAAGGCCACUGCCUCACCAUUAAAUGUCGAGUUGAAGUGAAACACAAUACAUCACCUUCCUCAUGGGCUGCCAUUCAGCCAACAGGAACCAAGAUUAGCCUUCAAUCACACAGGGGCUGGAGCUGUAGGAAACCUUCCUGAGGACACACUAGCGGAACAUUUUCAUUAGCGGAGGAGAACCUGAUGGAGAUGAAGUGCCCCUUCACCUCGACUGCCAGACCUCUCCCCUGCCUGGCAUUAACAGGAUUAGGAGAUGCUGAGGAGCUGGUGCCAGCUGCAACACUUUAAGUGCUGUCUCAUCCAGAUGUGAGAAACUGCUGUGACACACUGAAGCAGCACUUUUGUAGCAUGGUGGGGGUGGCUUUGGUUUUUCUCUUGCCUAUGGAUGAGCACUCAUUGCUAGAAGCGAACUGGUUCUCUCCGUGCUAUUAGCGGAAUGGAGGAAGAGGGUGCUAGGUUGCAAGCCACGUACCUGAAUGGGUAUCCUAGCAUGGGCCAGAAAAAGGUGUCCUUGGAUGAUAAGGUCCAUAGGUCCAGAAGGUAUCAUGGGCUCUGCCUCCUGCAACAAGUUUUGCAAAUAUAACAGGACUGCCUUAGCAGUAGUGGAGUUUUUCUCUGCUCCAUGGAAAGCUGUUCCACAGCCCACUUUUGCAGGCAUCUGCUCUUGGCCUGCGUCCCCUCAGGACAGUUAAGAUAACCAGCAUUCACUUCUGCUAUUGAUGUCUCUUUUGUAUUGGAGAAACAUACCCUACACCCUAGCUGGAAGGCUGGGACAGACCUGUCUCUCCUGGUUACCAGGAUUAGCCAGCAGGGUCCCUGCAGUUGGUAUCUGCCAUCCUCCACCUCACCUCCCUGGGGCUGGUGUGCUCCCGACAAAGACAGGAUCUGUCUCUUUCACUCACAGCUGAAGGAUGCUUUGCCUGGUCCUGUCUUGCAGGUUGGAAGGAAAUAAUUCUAAUUUAUGUGGCAUAUUCCUUUGGGGGGAUGAGGGGAAGAAAAGAGAAAAAAGCCCAGACACAACAGAAACUCUGGCUAUUCUGGGUAUUUUUAGCUCUUUGCAAAGAGCCGUUAACAUUAACCUCUCUCUUACUCUCUUCUCCCCCUGUGCCCCCCAUUUCUGUAUUUGGGGCUGCCUGCAAUACUGCAUUAACGUCAUAUCUCU
Long non-coding RNA from Pezoporus flaviventris, 5314 nucleotides. RefSeq lists it as uncharacterized. The transcript is spliced from 9 exons. The record is from RefSeq and is a predicted model, not a curated record. NCBI's taxonomy places the organism in Eukaryota, Metazoa, Chordata, Aves, Psittaciformes, Psittacidae.